This 425-nucleotide ribosomal RNA is filed under the name uncultured bacterium. Its description in RNAcentral is "bacterial SSU rRNA". It matches the Rfam family "Bacterial small subunit ribosomal RNA", at positions 355 to 772 of the family's 1533-position model. The record is from RNAcentral.
UCGAGAAUUUUUCUCAAUGGGGGAAACCCUGACGCAGCAACGCCGCGUGAGUGAGGAAGGUCUUCGGAUUGUACAACUCUUUUGUUGGGGAAAACUGGUCAUGGAGCUAAUACCCCAUGAUUUGAUGGUACCCAAAGAAUAAGCACCGGCUAACUUCGUGCCAGCAGCCGCGGUAAUACGUAGGUGGCAAGCGUUGUCCGGAUUUAUUGGGUUUAAAGGGUGCGUAGGCGGCCUAUUAAGUCAGUUCUGAAAUAUCCCGGCUUAACCGGGAGGGUGGGAUUGAUACUGAUGGGCUUGAGUGGAAUCGAGGUAGGCGGAAUUGACGGUGUAGCGGUGAAAUGCUUAGAUAUCGUCAAGAACACCGAUAGUGUAGACAGCUUACUAGACUUCAACUGACGCUGAGGCACGAAAGUGUGGGGAUCAAA